CCUACGGGUCGCACCAGUAGGGAAUCUUCGGCAAUGGACGAAAGUCUGACCGAGCAACGCCGCGUGAGUGAAGAAGGUUUUCGGAUCGUAAAACUCUGUUGGUAGAGAAGAACGUUGGUGAGAGUGGAAAGCUCAUCAAGUGACGGUAACUACCCAGAAAGGGACGGCUAACUACGUGCCAGCAGCCGCGGUAAUACGUAGGUCCCGAGCGUUGUCCGGAUUUAUUGGGCGUAAAGCGAGCGCAGGUGGUUUAUUAAGUCUGGUGUAAAAGGCAGUGGCUCAACCAUUGUAUGCAUUGGAAACUGGUAGACUUGAGUGCAGGAGAGGAGAGUGGAAUUCCAUGUGUAGCGGUGAAAUGCGUAGAUAUAUGGAGGAACACCAGUGGCGAAGGCGGCUUACUGGUCUGCAACUGACGCUGAGGCGCGAAAGCGUGGGGAGCAAACAGGAUUAGAUACCCGGGUAGUC
RNAcentral lists this ribosomal RNA (465 nucleotides) under uncultured bacterium. RNAcentral's name for it is "bacterial SSU rRNA". It matches the Rfam family "Bacterial small subunit ribosomal RNA", at positions 338 to 795 of the family's 1533-position model. The record is from RNAcentral.